This 548-nucleotide ribosomal RNA is filed under the name uncultured Glomus. RNAcentral's name for it is "SSU rRNA". It matches the Rfam family "Eukaryotic small subunit ribosomal RNA", at positions 549 to 1098 of the family's 1831-position model. Lineage: Eukaryota; Fungi; Glomeromycota; Glomeromycetes; Glomerales; Glomeraceae. The record is from RNAcentral.
UGGAGGGCAAGUCUGGUGCCAGCAGCCGCGGUAAUUCCAGCUCCAAUAGCGUAUAUUAAAGUUGUUGCAGUUAAAAAGCUCGUAGUUGAAUUUCGGGAUCAAUAUGUCGGUCGUGCCUUCGGUACGUACUGGUAUCAUUGGUCUCUCCUUUCUGACGAACCAUGAUGUCAUUAAUUUGGUGUUAUGGGGAGUUAGGACUGUUACUUUGAAAAAAUUAGAGUGUUUAAAGCAGGCUUUAGCUUGAAUACAUUAGCAUGGAAUAAUGAAAUAGGACGUUCGAACCUAUUUUGUUGGUUUCUAGGAUCAACGUAAUGAUUAAUAGGGAUAGUUGGGGGCAUUAGUAUUCAAUUGUCAGAGGUGAAAUUCCUGGAUUUAUUGAAGACUAACUACUGCGAAAGCAUUUGCCAAGGAUGUUUUCAUUAAUCAAGAACGAAAGUUAGGGGAUCGAAGACGAUCAGAUACCGUCGUAGUCUUAACCAUAAACUAUGCCGACUAGGGAUCGGAUGAUGUUAAUUUUUUAAUGACUCAUUCGGCGCCUUACGGGAAAC